AUGCUGCAACUCAGGCAAGAUCCAUUCCAUGCUAAGGCAAGGCAACAGUACAAUCAUCACUUUAUCGGAAAACAGUACAGUCAUCAGUUGGCAAAGAAAGUAAACUACGUAGCCACGUGGCUAUUCCUUCUUGGCGGCAAUCUUGGUCCUGGGCCCCGCCGGCGCCGAGAAGAGUGGGGUGUGACUGUGGUGCCUGAUCACCAUGAUCAUCACGAAGGUGUUGGCGGCCAGGAACACGAGGCCCGCGGCCCAGAGCUGCACGAACACGUUCCGCCCCUUGAACUCCAGCAGGUAGGCCCACAUCAGCCAAUGCAGCUGGGACCCCAUCCACACCAGCGUGCAGACCAGGCCCUUCCACUUCAGCUUCAUGCCGGUCCAGGGGAGGAUGAGGGGCAGCAGGCAGAAGAACCACACGAAGUACUGCGCUGUCAUCACCUGCUCGUCGACAGAGUAGCAACUGUUAGUAUUUCAGGUUACCGUAGUCGUUUCACACAAACAGAAAAAAGUUUCAGAUGCCUCACCUUGUUGAAAGCCACAAAUGCGACUGUCUGGAGGAACAUGCAAAACGGAAGGUCCCUGGAGAAGCGUAUGAUGAGCGCCAACUGCACGAUCAGCUGCGGCAGGAACGAAGCCAGCCUCUGUAUGCUUGAGAACCCUUGCUGA
This 663-nucleotide ribosomal RNA is filed under the name Triticum aestivum (bread wheat). RNAcentral describes it as "partial small subunit ribosomal RNA". Lineage: Eukaryota; Viridiplantae; Streptophyta; Magnoliopsida; Poales; Poaceae. The record is from RNAcentral.